AAGGAUCAUUAACACGAACUUAAAUCCAAUAUCAAAACCAAACGUGAACCAAAAUAUCCUUUAUUAUUCUCUCGUUAAACAGUGAGUAAUAAAGUACUUUUAUAUUAACCAUUUAACCCCUUUUUAUACAUAGUUGCUUUUUUAACAAAGCAAAACUUUUAAGUUAAUAUAUGUAAAAACUUUCGAGUUUUUCACUAUAUAUUUUCACAGAAACUAAAUAUUAUUAGUAAGAACAACUCUUAACAAUGGAUAUCUAGGUUCUC
This 263-nucleotide unclassified non-coding RNA is filed under the name uncultured fungus. RNAcentral describes it as "partial contains 18S rRNA, ITS1, 5.8S rRNA, ITS2 and 28S rRNA". The record is from RNAcentral. Lineage: Eukaryota; Fungi.